UCGAACGAGAAAGUGGAGCAUCCAUGAGUACAGUGGCGUACGGGUGAGUAACACGUGGGUAAUCUACCUCUUAGUGUGGAAUAACUCUGGGAAACUAGAGCUAAUACCGCAUAAGCUCGAGAGAGGAAAGCAGCAAUGCGCUGAGAGAGGAGCCCGCGGCCGAUUAGCUAGUUGGCAGGGUAAAAGCCUACCAAGGCAUAGAUCGGUAGCCGGCCUGAGAGGGCACACGGCCACACUGGCACUGAAACACGGGCCAGACUCCUACGGGAGGCAGCAGUGGGGAAUCUUGCACAAUGGGGGAAACCCUGAUGCAGCGACGCCGCGUGAGCGAUGAAGCCCUUCGGGGUGUAAAGCUCUUUCGGCAGGGAAGAUAGUGACGGUACCUGCAGAAGCAGCUGCGGCUAACUACGUGCCAGCAGCCGCGGUAAUACGUAGGCAGCGAGCGUUGUUCGGAGUUACUGGGCGUAAAGGGUGUGUAGGCGGUUGUUUAAGUUUGGUGUGAAAUCUCCCGGCUCAACUGGGAGGGUGCGCCGAAUACUGAAUGACUAGAGUACGGGAGAGGAAAGUGGAAUUCCUGGUGUAGCGGUGAAAUGCGUAGAUAUCAGGAGGAACACCGGUGGGUGUAGACGGCUUUCUGGACCGUAACUGACGCUGAGACACGAAAGCGUGGGUAGCAAACAGGAUUAGAUACCCUGGUAGUCCACGCCCUANACAUGCAUAUUUGGUGUGGGCAGUUCAUUCUGUCCGUGCCGGAGCUAACGCGUUAAUAUGCCGCCUGGGGAGUACAGUCGCAAGGCUGAAACUCA
Molecule: ribosomal RNA, 806 nt
Filed under: uncultured bacterium
Lineage: Bacteria
Description: bacterial SSU rRNA
Rfam family: Bacterial small subunit ribosomal RNA
Source: RNAcentral